Rhopilema esculentum is the source of this 4279-nucleotide non-coding RNA. The record is from RefSeq and is a predicted model, not a curated record. Lineage: Eukaryota; Metazoa; Cnidaria; Scyphozoa; Rhizostomeae; Rhizostomatidae.
UCGUCCUCUUUUCCUCAAAUUAAUCCUUGAUUAUCUUCUUUUGAAAGUCCUUCUUUAAAUCCAUUAAAUCUUUUUAUUUUUCUUUUUUUCUCUUUAUUACUUUAGAGCAUUAUUUGUUGUUCUGCCCCUGUCCUCUUUUCGUUAAAUUAAUCCUUGAUAAUCCUCACUUGAAACUCCUUCUUUAAAUCCAUUAAAUCUUUUUAUUUUUCUUUUUUUCUCUUUAAUACUUUAGAGCAUUAUUUGUUGUUCUGCCCCUGUCCUCUUUUCGUUAAAUUAAUCCUUGAUAAUCCUCACUUGAAACUCCUUCUUUAAAUCCAUUAAAUCUUUUUAUUUUUCUUUUUUUCUCUUUGAUACUUUAGAGCAUUAUUUGUUGUGCUGCCCCUGCCCUUUUUUCGUUAAAUUAAUCCUUGAUAAUACCUCACUUGAAACUCCUUCUUUCAAUCCAUUAAAUCUUUUUUUUUUUUUUUCUCUUUAAUACUUUAGAGCAUUAUUUGUUGUUCUCCCCCUGUCCUCUUUUCGUUGAAUUAAUCCUUGAUUAUUUUCUCUUGAAACUCCUUAUCAAAUCUUGAAAAUCAGUAUAAGAUUUUCGGUCUUAGUAAAGAUUUGAAAGAGACCCAGCUACCGCAUACAUUGAAAGAAAUUUCAAAAGGCAGAUGUCUGACAACAGCAUAUCUUGCCUUGAGGUUGAGAAUUGAAACUGACAAAAAGAUAUGUCAAAAUUGAAAUACGUUAAAAAUCUUUCUAAUUUGUAGCGAUCGAUUGCAUUUAACGAUGGCAUUAGACAAUAUCAUUAAAGUUCAAGCUUGUGGGUCAAAAAGUUUUUCAUUCAAAGAAACUGCGUACUUUUUGACCUACUAAACAGGCAAAACGUGCAAAUAUAUCAACAGUCAUUUUACCAGAAGGCAACAGAAAGGCUAUGACGACUUGCAAAAUUUCAUAAAACAAAACUUGGAAAAGCAUUUUGUUAGUAACUACGAUAAGGUAUACGAAAUAGCACUGAAUUAUUCGGAAAGCAAUGCAGAGCAAGACAACAGCUCGUAGAAUUUUAUAUACUAUUAUUAGCUAUUUACUUCCGAUUUAAUUCUAUAAAACAUUAAAGUUGGGUAUUUUACAAUCUUUAAUGUAAAUCUCAAAACCUGCCUAUAACCUUCACCGAGUAUAUUUAGUAUCAGCUUUAGAUAAUACCCUUGGAGAAGUAUGUAAUUAAUCAAGAAAAUAAGAUUUGUAGGCAAAAUAAACGGAAAAGAAGCCCAGUGUUUCUAAUUUAUCGAUAAGCCGAAUGUUAUAUUUUCCAGAUUUUUUCUAGAUCCGCGAAACCAGUUUCCUUUUUCAAAUGCCAAAAAUUCCAAUUUUCGAAGUAAAUUCUCCAAAUAACAAGAUGAAUGCCCCUUGCAACACCCGGCAAUGCGAUAACGUUUCCAUCUUUCAAUCGGCUAGUCUUCCCUUUGUUCUUUCACUAGAUCAUUUUGCUUGAAGGAAAACAAAGGAUUGAGUUGGGGCUACUCCAUAGAAAAUAAAAACUACAAUGAUUAAACAAGUGUGGAUUAUACACAGGUUUUUAUGGUCCUCGUAAUUAUUUACAAGAAUUACAUCCCGCAGGUAGACUUUUUAUCCAUUAAGUAGAUGGUAUACAGUUAAUCCGUACUUUAUAUGUGUAUAAAUUUCAUCUGUAUUAGCGAAUGCGAGAGAAAAAUAUGAGUCUGACGAGCGAGGUCUGACGUCAUCCUUGAGUGAUUUCUCCGCAACUUUUAUGCCUUGGCAACUUUUGAUAUCUCAUUUUAUCAAAAUUUCAUUCACAGGGUUUUUCUAAAAAAUUUUAGAUAGUUACAGCUACAUCAAAUUUAUUCUUCCCCAACAAUUUAACUUAAGGCAGUUCUUUGUCAACAUGGAUUCUUCUUCUCAAUUUUUUAGUAUUGUCAAUUUUUGCGUCCGUACUAAAUGUCGCCGUUUUCUUUAUCUUUUUAGCUAGCUUUUUCUUUAAAAUAUAAUUAGUGCCUCUGAUUUUCCAUAUGGCCAAAAAGCAGUUGUUUGAAAACAGUAAAGAUAUCUGCUUUCGUCAACACGUAUCGACGAAGGAGCUUUACUACCCAGAAUGCUAUUCGCCUUUCGUGUGAUUAAAAACAUGGCUUCGAAGAAAGUUGUUUUCGUCAUAAGCGGCUCACGUGUUAUAGUUAUUCAAAGAAAAUUUAUAUUUACUAUGCGACAAGAUGUUAGAUAAAUAUAUUGUAAUGUUGAACAGUUAAAGGCCGAAGAGUCAUGGAUAUUUGAUUUCUGUGGUAUUUUGUCUUGAUGGGAAAACUUUGGAACCAAAAGCCAGGGCUCACAAAUUCCUCUUCAGAGCUCCAUCAAUAUAGCCAGUUGAUGCUUUGAACACCUAGAAAUUGGAUAUGAAUGGGAUCUGGACUAAAACCUUCAUAAGAACUUGUAUGACUUUUGCAGGAAAAAUGUUCGCUGUCGCAGAUACCCAGUGGACACCGCAAUAAAAGAUGAUGUCGAUGCAUCAGUAGAAAGAGGGAAACGCACAUGAAGGAAAGGUUUACCACAUGAACCAAGUCUCUAUACAGAAAUCCAAUACAGACACUUUCCUUGUUUGUAAUCGUUUAAAGAUUUUGCAGCCACAAGAACGUUGCAGAAAAUUCUAUUCCGUAUGGCAUGUAAACUUGAUUUCUCACGCUCAACCAUGUAACAUCUCUUUGUAACUUGUCCAGUGGCCUUUAGCUCCCGGAUUGAAUGCCCCCCUCACCCUUAAAGUGUUGCUUAUGUGCCGCCUAACUACCGAAAUUGUUCGGCCUAACUGCCCAAAAUUAAGUAGGGUAACUCUGAACGGAAAGCUGCAAUUUGGAGCCAUCUAUUGUCGGGAAAUGUACAAAGAAGUCUCUAAGUUAACCAUAAACACACCCUCUUCGAUCGCGUGGAACAUAGGUCGAUGCAAUAUCCAGGGCAAUCGCAAGGCAAGCCUUGAUGAGGGGGGAGGUGUGGACAACAAAUUUACCUGAUUAUUAAACAAUUACCUGAAAUUCUUAACAUGCUGAAGCAAACCUCUGCAAUACUUUUUGUCAAUCUAACGGUGUGGCAUAUAAUUCGCAAUUUUCAAUUUUUUAUGAUUAUAACGGACUUUUAUAAUAGUUUUGUCAAAUCUGUAUAUCGGGACGGGCAAGGAUAUACCUACCCGAGCCCGCACCAUGGUUGCCGCCGAGGGACUAGAAAUUUUUCGAAUUUUGAUGCUUCCUGUUCCCUGGAAAAUAAUUUUUUUUUGCCAAAUUUUACUAAAGCAAUCCUCUUAAUCCUAUUAAAAAUUCUUUUAUUUUUACAAACAAAUCGAGCAGCAGAUAAAAACAACUGGCAAAAUUUCCCCGUGGUUUGAAAAAUUCCAUGUUGUCAGUUACCUCUGAAGCCAGGUAACAAGCAGCACUGGUUGUCAAUUUAGAUCCCUCUUUCCAACCUAGCAUGCCUUUUGAAUGUUACAAAAAACCUGGAGCUCAUUAUGAAUUGCAGUUGACGCUUCUACCGAGAAACUUUAGGGGAAAUGGACACAUGGCACAAUUUUACCUAAAAAGGGCAUGGAUUAUUAAAUUUUGUGCCAACAAGAAAUCUUCAAAUCUUCAAAUCAUUAGUUUGUUUACCUUCCUUCAUAUCAAGAAAUAUCAUAUUUAACCAAAGGAGCAACUACCUUUGCUUAAUUCUUUAUUGACUUUAAGCAUGACGGUCUCUGAAAUUCCUAAAGCGUUGCUUCCACUGGGCGGACUUUACCUGAAAUUUCCUAUCCAGAUGCUAUUGAGGAGUUGUGACACCCCCCAGUCGCGACGCCCCUGGUAAUAUUGAACCCCUUUCCUACUUACAACCCUGCAUCCUUAGUAAAUGUAUAUUCUGAAGCUACUUAGCACCCUUAUUGCCCUCUCAAACCUACCUUUUUAAACAGUGAACGACAAGUGUCGUCUAACUACAGCGAAAAGAUGCCCAUCUCCAUCGGGAGCAUUCCCCAUCAUUGAUACAUUGUUUAUGUUCUCCUUUUAGGUUCGGCCUUGUCGAUUGCCACCCUCAACAAGUUAAGAGAGUAUUUUGAGAUGAAGCUUUAGAAAUUGUCUAUUGAAUUUCUUUUGUUUGAAGUGAGAAUCUUUUGAAUUGUUGGUUUUUAGGAAAGAUAAUUUUUACUCGCUCAUCCAAAAGGUUAAAGUAAACGUCCUUUUGUGGAAUGGUAGCAUGGAUUGAGAUAAAUAUUGCUUAUUUUCUGUGUAUUUUUCCUGUUUUGCGUUUAAAAGAUAUUUGAUAUUCCAGCCGG